This 207-nucleotide ribosomal RNA is filed under the name uncultured bacterium. RNAcentral describes it as "partial 16S ribosomal RNA". It matches the Rfam family "Bacterial small subunit ribosomal RNA", at positions 568 to 774 of the family's 1533-position model. The record is from RNAcentral.
CUCGUAGGCGGUUUGAUAAGUCGGGUGUGAAAUCUCCAGGCUCAACCUGGAGAGGUCACUCAAGACUGUUAUGACUAGAGUCCGGUAGGGGACCACGGAAUUCCUGGUGUAGCGGUGAAAUGCGCAGAUAUCAGGAAGAACACCUAUGGCGAAGGCAGCUCUCUGGGACGGUACUGACGCUGAGACGCGAAAGCGUGGGAGCGAACA